AGGGUGCGUAGGAGGGCAGGUAAGUCAGUGGUGAAAUCCCCGAGCUUAACUUGGGAACUGCCGUUGAUACUAUCUGUCUUGAAUAUUGUGGAGGUAAGCGGAAUAUGUCAUGUAGCGGUGAAAUGCUUAGAUAUGACAUAGAACACCAAUUGCGAAGGCAGCUUGCUACACAAUCAUUGACUCUGAUGCACGAAAGCGUGGGGAUCAAACAGGAUUAGAUACCCUGGUAGUCCACGCCCUAAACGAUGGAUACUCGACAUCAGCGAUACACUGUUGGUGUCUGAGCGAAAGCAUUAAGUAUCCCACCUGGGAAGUACGACCGCAAGGUUGAAACUCAAAGGAAUUGG
RNAcentral lists this ribosomal RNA (347 nucleotides) under uncultured bacterium. RNAcentral describes it as "bacterial SSU rRNA". It matches the Rfam family "Bacterial small subunit ribosomal RNA", at positions 564 to 913 of the family's 1533-position model. The record is from RNAcentral.